RNAcentral lists this long non-coding RNA (286 nucleotides) under Lathyrus oleraceus (garden pea). Its description in RNAcentral is "Pisum sativum (pea) long non-coding RNA (PSAT_LNC035266)". Lineage: Eukaryota; Viridiplantae; Streptophyta; Magnoliopsida; Fabales; Fabaceae. The record is from RNAcentral.
GAUUUCUUCAACAGCAAACACAUGAGUUGGCCUAUCAAGACGCAUCACAGUUAAAUUGGGAACUUCAUUCCAAUACUUUACCACAAUCAUCGAUGCCAACAUUGCAAGAGCAUUUGCCAUCCGGUUUUCAUCUCGAGGGAUAUGAUGAAACUCAACCUUUGUAAAUAAAGUUUAAAUCCUCCUUGUGUAAUCCCUAUACGGUAUUAAACCGGGUUGAUUUGUCUCUCAUUCACCUUUGAUCCAGUUCACAACCAAAGCUGAAUCUCCAAAGACAUCUUAAUGCUUG